Molecule: non-coding RNA, 540 nt
Filed under: Pongo abelii (Sumatran orangutan)
Lineage: Eukaryota; Metazoa; Chordata; Mammalia; Primates; Hominidae
Source: RNAcentral
GUCAUAGUGACUUUUGGGAUAGUUUGCUAUCGACAAAGGGGGACAAAGUCAAGGGGUGAAGGGAAAGGAGGGCCAAGUAGAGCCUCCACGACCCUCGGCUGCCUCCUCACCAUCUCCCCCUCCUCCCAAGUCCAGUAAGAAGUUGGGCCAUGCUGGAAGGGAUUGACCGGGUUGCUUGUCUGGAGACAGAGCCACUACGGGCAGGGCCUGGGCGCCUGGAGUCGGGCAUGAAAGGAAAUAGCGCCUCAUCGCUCUUAUCUAAGCCCAGAGGCCCAGGGGACAACCUAAGGGCCCUGAAGUGUUUCAAUACCACGUACCAGCUUGACUUCUCUACCUGUCCUUUGGAUUGCCCAAAAGCAAAAUCUCGGAGGGGCCAAGGACCUUCCAGGGCUGACUCCUUCAGGGCCUCCUAUAGAGCAGCUUCCUGAGUCGGGCCUUAUAGCCACCAGAAAGUCACCUCGCUGCAGAAAAGCUGUUAAGAGCUGCUUCAGAGGCGCCGAAAGCGGGUCUACUUCGCUUGAAAAGAUCGAGAAUGGGGGA